GGGCGCAGGUGGAAGCCGUCCUGUGUUAUAUUAUCUACAAUGGCAUGACAAGCGAGAGUAUCACGCCGUUUUU
Molecule: small RNA, 73 nt
Filed under: Salmonella enterica subsp. enterica serovar Typhi
Lineage: Bacteria; Pseudomonadati; Pseudomonadota; Gammaproteobacteria; Enterobacterales; Enterobacteriaceae
Description: StyR-381
Source: RNAcentral